Non-coding RNA from Truncatella angustata, 88 nucleotides. The record is from the annotation of a RefSeq genome assembly. Lineage: Eukaryota; Fungi; Ascomycota; Sordariomycetes; Amphisphaeriales; Sporocadaceae.
GCCCGGAUGGUUUAGUGGUAUAAUUCUCGCUUAGGGUCAACCCUAACCAGUUUGCGAGAGGUCCCCGGUUCGAUCCCGGGUUCGGGCC